Molecule: ribosomal RNA, 326 nt
Filed under: uncultured eukaryote
Lineage: Eukaryota
Description: partial 18S ribosomal RNA
Rfam family: Eukaryotic small subunit ribosomal RNA
Source: RNAcentral
CCCUUAGAUGUUCUGGGCUGCACGCGCGCUACACUGAUGCACUCAACGAGUUUACGACCUUGCCCGAUAGGGUUGGGUAAUCUUUUUAAAAUGCAUCGUGAUGGGGAUAGAUUAUUGCAAUUAUUAAUCUUCAACGAGGAAUUCCUAGUAAGCGCGAGUCAUCAGCUCGUGCUGAUUACGUCCCUGCCCUUUGUACACACCGCCCGUCGCUCCUACCGAUUGAGUGCUCAGGUGAAUAAUUCGGACUGCAGCAAUGUUUGGAUCCCGAACGUUGCAGCGGAAAGUUUAGUGAACCUUAUCACUUAGAGGAAGGUGAAGUCGUAACA